GGGAGUCAGAGAUCAAUGAUACACUUCCCCUUAAAAUCGGGCUGUCUCAUGACUGAUCAUGUCAUCAUGUUCUCUGUUUAUCUUUCAAGUAUAUAAAGCCCAUGCUUUCCUCAGAAGUCAUAUUGUUUCCGACUUUGCACGCUUCUCACAAGCUUAUUCUUCUCAAACCACUCAAAACCCCAACCAAACUUCAACAUGUACGGACAAGAACGUAACGUCAUCGACAUCGUUGCCCUCAACGGCAAAGAACGCAACACCGUUGACAUCGUCGCCUUGAACGGCAAGGAACGCAACGUCGUUGACGUCAUCGCCCUCAACGGAAAGGAACGCAACGUCGUUGACAUCGUAUCCCUCAACGGAAAGGAACGCGUCGCCUUUGACGUCAUCACCCUCAACGGCAAGGAAAGGACUUCCUUCGACAUCAUCAACGUUUAAAGGACCACCGCCCCAAGUUCCAAACCUAGAUCCAGUCUCAAGUCAACAUGCGUCACAUGGCUUUGAACCUCUCUAAAACAUCUGAGGCUGGGCUCUAUCGGAUCAACGCUGCCUCUACCCCUUUCUCUCCCUCUCGCACUUACACUCACUCUCGCACGUUAAUAAGUCUCAUUUAAUUUUAAUCUUUCAAAUUUGAAUUAAGUCUCAUGGAUAUUGUAUCAAUAAUAAGAAUAAGGAAUAAAUUUGGUUAAGAAGAAGAAAAAA
This is a long non-coding RNA of Bemisia tabaci, 699 nucleotides long. RefSeq lists it as uncharacterized. NCBI's taxonomy places the organism in Eukaryota, Metazoa, Arthropoda, Insecta, Hemiptera, Aleyrodidae. The record is from RefSeq and is a predicted model, not a curated record.